CCUACGGGUGGCAGCAGUGAGGAAUAUUGGUCAAUGGACGAGAGUCUGAACCAGCCAAGUAGCGUGAAGGAUGACUGCCCUAUGGGUUGUAAACUUCUUUUAUCUGGGAAUAAAAUGUGCCACGUGUGGCAUUUUGUAUGUACCUUAUGAAUAAGGAUCGGCUAACUCCGUGCCAGCAGCCGCGGUAAUACGGAGGAUCCGAGCGUUAUCCGGAUUUAUUGGGUUUAAAGGGAGCGUAGGUGGAUUGUUAAGUCAGUUGUGAAAGUGUGCGGCUCAACCCUAAAAUUGCCGUUGAAACUGGCAGUCUUGAGUACAGUAGAGGUGGGCGGAAUUCGUGGUGUAGCGGUGAAAUGCUUAGAUAUCGCGAAGAACUCCGAUUGCGAAGGCAGCUCGCUGGACUGCAACUGACACUGAGGCUCGAAAGUGUGGGUAUCGAACAGGAUUAGAUACCCCUGUAGUC
RNAcentral lists this ribosomal RNA (460 nucleotides) under uncultured bacterium. RNAcentral's name for it is "partial 16S ribosomal RNA". It matches the Rfam family "Bacterial small subunit ribosomal RNA", at positions 338 to 795 of the family's 1533-position model. The record is from RNAcentral.